This 464-nucleotide ribosomal RNA is filed under the name uncultured bacterium. Its description in RNAcentral is "bacterial SSU rRNA". It matches the Rfam family "Bacterial small subunit ribosomal RNA", at positions 338 to 795 of the family's 1533-position model. The record is from RNAcentral.
CCUACGGACGCACCAGUGGGGAAUAUUGCACAAUGGGCGCAAGCCUGAUGCAGCCAUGCCGCGUGUGUGAAGAAGGCCUUCGGGUUGUAAAGCACUUUCAGCGGGGAGGAAGGCGGUGAGGUUAAUAACCUCAUCGAUCGACGUUACCCGCAGGAGAAGCACCGGCUAACUCCGUGCCAGCAGCCGCGGUAAUACGGAGGGUGCAAGCGUUAAUCGGAAUUACUGGGCGUAAAGCGCACGCAGGCGGUCUGUCAAGUCAGAUGUGAAGUCCCCGGGCUCAACCUGGGAACUGCAUUCGAAACUGGCAGGCUAGAGUCUUGUAGAGGGGGGUAGAAUUCCAGGUGUAGCGGUGAAAUGCGUAGAGAUCUGGAGGAAUACCGGUGGCGAAGGCGGCCCCCUGGACAAAGACUGACGCUCAGGUGCGAAAGCGUGGGGAGCAAACAGGAUUAGAUACCCUUGUAGUC